RNAcentral lists this ribosomal RNA (254 nucleotides) under uncultured bacterium. Its description in RNAcentral is "partial 16S ribosomal RNA". It matches the Rfam family "Bacterial small subunit ribosomal RNA", at positions 524 to 776 of the family's 1533-position model. The record is from RNAcentral.
UACGUAGGGUGCAAGCGUUAAUCGGAAUUACUGGGCGUAAAGAGCGCGCAGGCGGUCGGAUCAGUCGAAUGUGAAAGCCCCCCGGCUCAACUAGGGAGAGUCAUUCGAUACUGUUCGACUCGAAGGCAGGAGAGGGAAGUGGAAUUCCGGGUGUAGUGGUGAAAUGCGUAGAUAUCCGGAGGAACACCAGUGGCGAAGGCGACUUUCUGGCCUGUUCUUGACGCUGAGGCGCGAAAGCUAGGGGAGCAAACGGG